GACAAACGCUGGCGGCGUGCUUAACACAUGCAAGUCGAACGAAGAGCGAUGGAAGCUUGCUUCUAUCAAUCUUAGUGGCGAACGGGUGAGUAACGCGUAAUCAACCUGCCCUUCAGAGGGGGACAACAGUUGGAAACGACUGCUAAUACCGCAUACGAUCUAAUCUCGGCAUCGAGGAUAGAUGAAAGGUGGCCUCUACAUGUAAGCUAUCACUGAAGGAGGGGAUUGCGUCUGAUUAGCUAGUUGGAGGGGUAACGGCCCACCAAGGCGAUGAUCAGUAGCCGGUCUGAGAGGAUGAACGGCCACAUUGGGACUGAGACACGGCCCAGACUCCUACGGGAGGCAGCAGUGGGGAAUCUUCCGCAAUGGACGAAAGUCUGACGGAGCAACGCCGCGUGAGCGAUGACGGCCUUCGGGUUGUAAAGCUCUGUUAAUCGGGACGAAAGGCCUUCUUGCGAAUAGUGAGAAGGAUUGACG
RNAcentral lists this ribosomal RNA (477 nucleotides) under Veillonella parvula. Its description in RNAcentral is "bacterial SSU rRNA". It matches the Rfam family "Bacterial small subunit ribosomal RNA", at positions 28 to 474 of the family's 1533-position model. The record is from RNAcentral. Lineage: Bacteria; Bacillati; Bacillota; Negativicutes; Veillonellales; Veillonellaceae.